GUCCCUUCAGAGACAUCCAAUAAAAUUACAACGAUAUUGGGAAGAUUAUAACAUGAUUUCUGCACAAGAAUGACACAUACAAAUUUAAAAAUGGUCUCAAAUUAAU
Non-coding RNA from Morus notabilis, 106 nucleotides. The record is from Rfam. NCBI's taxonomy places the organism in Eukaryota, Viridiplantae, Streptophyta, Magnoliopsida, Rosales, Moraceae.